AGGUAGUUUGUUGUGUUA
This 18-nucleotide microRNA is filed under the name Macrophomina phaseolina MS6. RNAcentral's name for it is "miR-4090-3p". Lineage: Eukaryota; Fungi; Ascomycota; Dothideomycetes; Botryosphaeriales; Botryosphaeriaceae. The record is from RNAcentral.